RNAcentral lists this long non-coding RNA (3437 nucleotides) under Coffea arabica (coffee). RNAcentral's name for it is "long non-coding RNA (CARA_LNC003014)". The record is from RNAcentral. Lineage: Eukaryota; Viridiplantae; Streptophyta; Magnoliopsida; Gentianales; Rubiaceae.
GCUAUACUCAGCAUCGACGCUGCUGCUGUAGUUGCACUAGAAGAAGUGAACAUUGGGGUAGCACGCCGACUCUCUGCUCUCUUCCAGAGCUUUGAACUCAAAUAUUCUGCACCAGGUAGUUUGCAACACAUGCCUCCAGCAGAAGCAGCAUUCGACAUCCUUCCGGUUGAAACAGCAAGAUCCAAGGAGAUCUCAUCCAGUGCAAGCUCUAGGCCACGAACCCGUGUCUCCAGUGAUCGCAUACCACUCUGUGAGCUCCCCAUAAAUUUCUGAAUUAAAAGUGAACAGGAAUAGUAAUUAAACAUCCAGUUCCUACUCACCAUGUAAGAAAGGUCAAUAAAAUAGAUAAAAUAAGCAAACAAAACAUUUAACUCAAACACCAUGCAUCAAGAGUGCAAAUGAUAUAGAAAUUCAAAUAGAUUUUGAUCCUAAAGAAUAUAAAAAAAAAAAAAAAGGUUGUCAUAUACAAUUGAGCUGGAGGCCCCAAGAGGAUCAAUCGCAGUUUUGUAUCCUUAUUUCACUGGUGGACCAAUCAUAGAAAAUUAGCUAUAUUCAGCCUGUUCGGCAAGUAUCCCAUUAUGGGAGAGUUAGACGUGAAAUGUCUAUUCUGUAGGUGAUAUUCAAAUUGAAAUAAUAGAGAGGUCAUUCCUGUCACAAAUCAAAAAACAAGAUGACAGAUAGACAAAAAAAAUGUGGUUGGCAGGGACACAACAAGUACCUGGAGGAGAUCUAGCAAAUUGGAUUGCUGCUUUUCAAUUUGAACAAGUUGCUUACGAAUUAAUGAUAGAUCCUCAUAGUCCUUCUGGUUCCUCAAGGUAAUCCCCGUUUCAUUACUAACAACCACGGUACCUUCUGAGAUCUCUUCAUGACAUGGGACUACACGAGAAGCAGACUUAUUAAAAAGGGUUCUCUUCACAUCCGGCUUUGCCAAUCUAUUUCUCUCCCCAACUUUUUCCCCAGAGCUCUCAUCUCUGUUCGUUGGGUCAUCGUCAGACAUUGCCUUCCCUGGAGCAUUGUGAGCGGCACCACAUUCAACUAUCAAUUCAUAAGGCUUCUUACGAUCCAGUUUCCGGAACAUUGCUGGACCAGUUUUCUUUUCGUUCUCAUUUACCGGAAUUCUUUUCCUGGCUGUGGUGAAAGAAGAGCCAUUGCAUAAAAGGAGAUUUUUCCUCACUUGAGGUGCACCGGAGGUGACAGUGCAGGGCGUCUUGGAAGCAGGCGUGUAUUGCCCGUGGCUCGCAUUCUGGCAUUCUGUAGGUACAAAAUCACAUUCCGACGUUGAGCAUCAGUAAAUCCAAUACAAAGAUUUGUUAUAUAUACAUCACCAAUACAAGGCAUCCAUUAAGAAUGAAGAAAUGAAGAUGAUCGGAUACCCAUUGUUGAAGAAUGGUAUUCAAGAUCUGCGGACGCCUCAUCAGGAACCUCCUUCCACGCCUCCACCAACUGAUUCAUGGUCUCCCGGACUACCUUUACCUAGAGGGUCCAAUUAAUUCACAUCAACCACCACGAAAUCCUUUUAUUUAUCAGUAGUAAUUUUAGCCGGAAAAAUUCUUUUAAUUUAAGAUAUAUGCACACGGAAGAAAUCAACUAAUACCAGUACUAGUACUAUUUGCUAGCUAGCAGUCAAAUUAGAAAGUAAUAGUAAUUUGAGACCUUGUCGAAUCUUUUGGCCUCGAAGGUCUUCAAAGACGCAGCUUUAAACUCGGGCAAGGCCUCUCUUUCCGCCAGAGCAAGCUUGAGCAGCGUCUCUGCGACGGCCUUCCUCGCUGCCCAAUCCUCACUACUCAAAAACUGCACCAGACAUGCCAGCAAGUUACUCAGCAUCAUCCCGGCAUGGGCCCCACCUGACUCGAUCACGGAUCCCAUGAACCCCAGAACGGCUGCCUUGGCCCUAAACCCCUCGCGCUUGACUAACUUCUGCAGCCUGACCAGGAGCUUCCUCAAGAGCACGGCAUCCGGCGGCUGGGGAAUGGACUCGAGGACGGCUGACAAGCACAUGGCGGCGCCGAUCUGAGCAUUGAGGUCCUGUUCGGUGAAGAGAGCUUCGAGGAAGGGCUUGGAGAGGGAGGAGAAGGAGGGCCUGGUGAGGUGAGAAGCAAGGGAGGUGGCAGCGGAGACGCAUGCGGGGCGGAUAGAAGAGUCGGAGUCGCGGAGGCGGCGGAUGAUGGAGGAGAGGAGCUUAGAGAGGUGGGGGGAGAGAGCGUCGGAGUGGUGGAGAGCGAGUAGAGAGAUCAAAUGCAGGCAUUGCUUGCGGACGGUGGAUUUGUCGGUGGAGUCGGUGGCGGUGAUGGAGGAGAUAAAAGGAGGAAGAUUGUCAGGGGAGAGGGUCUUGGCGAUGUUUUCGAGCUCGGAAGUGGCGGAGGCGUAGGUGUCUCUGUCGGAGAGCUUGUGGAGGUACGUCAGUACUCUGUGCUUCAAGUCACGUUUCGCAGCGGCGGCCGCUUGAUUCUGCUUGACUGCCGCCAUUGACUGUGACAUUGCGUUCGCGUAUAAAAAUUAAAAGAGAACGGCGGUUGAUACGUGGAGUAGAACUGUCUGAGUUUACGGCUGAGAAAUUGGUGAUGGCGGUUGCGCCGCUGGGACUUCCGGAAGCAUGGCAGCGAAAGAUGGUAGUUAUGGCGCCGCUGGGAUUCAUCUCAACUGCUUUAGAUAUCUAUACAUACAUAUAUGCUGUAUGUUCUUUUACCUUUUUCUUACAUUUUGUGAUAGUAGCAGUACCCAUUUCUCUACGCCUGCCUCUCUCUCUCUCUCUCCUGGUCCUGUCUUCUUUAAAGAAGAGGGGUGGAAGAGAACAUGGAACAUGCAACUGUCAUCCGCAAGUUACCAAAAGGCCGUUAAUUUGAUCGCAACGGAUCUUCUGUCCCACACCCUAUGCCACUCUCUCUCCCAUUUUUUAUUACCAUGUGUGUCAUGUUCUGUUUCGCAGAAUGCAAAUUUUAGUGGUGGUAGUAGCAGACUAUUAUAAGACUGGUGACAGUGGAGUGUGUGGAUAAGGGAUUAUUUGAAAUAAUUAUUAUAAUAUUUUUAUAAUGUGAUAUAUAUAAAAUAAAAAAAUAUGUUAAAAAUUAUAUUCGUGACGUAAGUAAAUAAUUUUAACUAUUCAAAUGAAUUAUACUCGGGAAAAAUAUUAAUAAUAAUAGGGAUUAUUAAGUAAGGAAAUUUUUUUUACUCCCUCUUUGUUUUUUAAGUUUCAUCCCUCCUCUUCUGCCGAAAAAAAAAAACAAAUCUUCAACACAUAGGGUCCAAGGUCAAGAAUGGAGUGGGAGGCAGUGAAUGCAGUAAAUUUGUCAACUUUUUUUGGGGUUUCUUUUCCGGCUAAAAUUGGGCUAGAAUAAUCAUGUAAGCAUGGCACAAGAGCAUCAUUCAAGUCACAAAUGCUUGUCAUCAUUUCAUUUCUUUCUCAAAUUUCCUUCUUACGUUAUUAAAGAUUCUGCGUU